AGCUCUUGAGCGCCUUGACAAUGAGUUUGCUGUUGGAAUUCCGUUUGACUACGAAGAAUUGUUUGACAACAACGCCGUCAAUGCGUGUGCUUUUAUAUCCGUAACUCUUGCUCAUUUAUUUAGUUUGAUAGGCAAAUUACAUGUUUUCGCAAUGGUUUAGCAAACAACGAAUUCGAUUAAAUUUGCCCAUUUCAGCGUUUUAUCUCCAUUUCAACGUUUUAUCCCCAUUUCAGC
Molecule: non-coding RNA, 234 nt
Organism: Paramuricea clavata
Lineage: Eukaryota; Metazoa; Cnidaria; Anthozoa; Malacalcyonacea; Plexauridae
Source: the annotation of a GenBank genome assembly